CCUACGGGCGGCAGCAGUGGGGAAUAUUGCACAAUGGGGGAAACCCUGAUGCAGCGACGCCGCGUGAGUGAAGAAGUAUUUCGGUACGUAAAGCUCUAUCAGCAGGGAAGAAAAUGACGGUACCUGACUAAGAAGCCCCGGCUAACUACGUGCCAGCAGCCGCGGUAAUACGUAGGGGGCAAGCGUUAUCCGGAUUUACUGGGUGUAAAGGGAGCGUAGACGGCAGGGCAAGUCUGGAGUGAAAUGCCGGGGCCCAACCCCGGAACUGCGUUGGAAACUGUGAAGCUGGAGUGCAGGAGAGGUAAGCGGAAUUCCUGGUGUAGCGGUGAAAUGCGUAGAUAUCAGGAGGAACACCAGCGGCGAAGGCGGCUUACUGGACUAUAACUGACGUUGAGGCUCGAAAGCGUGGGUAUCGAACAGGAUUAGAUACCCGGGUAGUC
This 440-nucleotide ribosomal RNA is filed under the name uncultured bacterium. RNAcentral's name for it is "partial 16S ribosomal RNA". It matches the Rfam family "Bacterial small subunit ribosomal RNA", at positions 338 to 795 of the family's 1533-position model. The record is from RNAcentral.